Molecule: long non-coding RNA, 2795 nt
Filed under: Malus domestica (apple)
Lineage: Eukaryota; Viridiplantae; Streptophyta; Magnoliopsida; Rosales; Rosaceae
Description: long non-coding RNA (MDOM_LNC003322)
Source: RNAcentral
CAGCCAUCACUUAGCCACCAUAAAAAAUCGCUCGCUCACUCAACCGCGCUAUUAUUUUCGGCUUGAAACUGGUUUUUCCCUUGUUUAUUAACAUAAAACGUCUGGAACUGGUUUUUCCCUUGUUUAUUAACAUAUAAGGUGACAAUUAAGCCUCGGCGAUCUCAGCGGAUUCUGCAGCAGCUAGGAUCAGCUCCGGCUGGAUGCCUCCGACGUAUGAUCCAUCCAAUGCGUUGGGGAGUCCCAGUGCCUUCAAUGCCAAGUGAGCUGCCUUUUGCCCUGAGAUCAUCAUGGCUCCGAAUGUAGGUCCCUGCAUCCCCAAUAAUGUUACAAAUUAUAUUAUUAGGACUACGUUGAUAUCGACGGAUACCAAACCCACAAUGUUUAUAUCAAGUGGGAAUCUUAUUAGGACCACAUAAAGAUCUAGUAAUGGUACUAUUCCAAACAUAAAAGAACAGGAAAAGAAUGGAAGAGCUUUUGGACCCACGUUCUUUCGAAAUCACUAUGCAUGGAUUGAGGCUUAAGUAAUUCUACGGUCCUAAGGUGUUUUUGUUUCGUAAUUAAACGCCGAGGGGAGAGGCCACUGUCUAUCUACGCUGUGCAUUUACAUGUCAAAAUUCGAAGCUUAAAACUAGGACGUUAUGCUUGAUAAAUCAAAUAUUCUAAUCCUUAAUGUUUUAUCUAAAUCGUCUAAGCCCACCACCGCGAUCACCAUUUUGACUAAAUGUGAUCGCGAUGGCUUGAAGCGGUUGGAUAAAAUCAGCCAAGCACAGUAAUGGCUAUACCAAAAAGUAAAACAGUAAAUAAAUCAAGAACAAAUGGAAUGAGUCAGAAAUGUACCAUUCUUGGGGAUCCAUCAAUCUCGGCAACUUCCAUGCCGGUGACGAUCAUUCCUGGCACAAUUUCCCUUGUGAGCUUCACGAUAGCAUCCUCAGCUGCGUUCAUGUCCAAGGCCUUCAUCCCGGGCACGCUCUCAAUCAUCCCAACGCUCCUCAGCCUCUUUACGCCGGUGGCUCCCAUGGGUCCGUCAUGACCACAUGAGCUCACCACAACCUUGGCCUCCAUGACGUUGGGGUCCAUGCACGACUGUGUGUCGUGGUUCAUUGAGACCAAGGCCCAGUUGGUGACCACCCCACCAACUCUGCCACCCUUAAUGAUCAAGUCCUCGGCGGCCACAGCGUUGAAGAGCUUCACGUUGGGCCGGGCAAGGAGCUUGCUCAUGAUGGUGGAGGUGAAUAGGGCGGCGUGCUUGAUGACAACGUAGUUGUCUUGCUCAUCGUAGUCAAUGCCGAGCUCGUUAAGGAAGAGAUGGGCGGGUUUGCGCACAACCUAUAUAUGUCAACAUAUAAAUUAAAUCUUAAGUACUACAAAAUAUAAGACAAAAUAUUUUCAAAAUUUUCAAGUUAGAACAUUGAAAUAUUUUCGAAAUUUAUGUUGCUUUCCAAAAUUGUACUUUUAAUUUUCAUAGCAUUCAUUUCUCACUAGAACAUUUAACCAAAUAUAAGGCCAACCCAUUUAACGGAAUAAGACUUGGUUGCAAUUGUUGUAAUGUUAACUAAAUAGCGGGAUUAUCUCGCUUCCAUAAAUUCACCAUAAUCAAGCAAUCUAAUUGUGAUUCAUUAGUGCAUAGAUGAAAUCUAUAUAUAUUGUAUAUUUGGAAUUAAUUAAUAAGGAAUUACUUUUCUACAAAAUAUACAAAAUUUGUUUGAUUUACGAAUGAAAAUACAACAAUAUCAAACUAUUUAAUUAAUUACAAAAAUGGAAAUAAAGAAAUAAAUUACAAAAAAUAAAUUAACGAAUAUUUAUGCAAAUAAAAACAGACAUGCAUAACGAUACAGGUCAAAUUAUCCAAACAAGAUGGGGCAUGCGCGACACGUGUCACAGUCAAACGUUUCAUUCAUUUUACCGACAAACAUGAAUUUCAAAUUAACAAACAAUUUCCCAGAAAAAAGGCCAAAAAUUAAGCACCCGGAAACCUUAAACGACCAAAAAUGAUAAUUAAACUACAACAAAUCAUUAAUUAAAAGUUUCAAUAACUUUCCAAAAAUAUUAAAAUUAAUCAUAAAUGACAGUAAUUACCAUGGCAGAGAAGAGCUGGCCACCGAGCCAUGCACCUCCACCGGGGCUGACGGACUGCUCGAUGAUGGCGACCUGAACGUCGGGGUUCUUGCUGAGUUCGUAGGCGCAGGAUAGCCCGGCGGAGCCAGCACCGACGACAACGACGUCGGUGUCGGCGUAGGUGAUCAUGUCAGUCAUGUAGCGCCUUGUCAUCUCCCGGGAGACGAUGGAUUCCUUGAUGGGGUCGAACUUGAAAGCGCUCAAGUCGUAGGAGGGGGUCAAGCCGUUGGCGGACAUGGAGACGGAGAGGCCGCCGUUGUUGGCGGGGGCCGCCUUGGCCAGCUGAAGGCGGACCAUGGGAGCGCCAUGGAAGGAGGAGUCGAGGAGGGAGGACUUCUGGAGCUUGGCGGUGAGGGAGGAGGAGGUGAGGGUGGAAGCCAUGGUUGCCAUUGAUUGAUGCGAGAGAAGGAGAGAGAGGGAGAGAGAGAGAAGAUGAUAAGAUGGGGUGAUUUGGGGGUUUAGCGUUUGCAAGUCAGAAGAUGGAAGUGAAGAGAGUGGUUAUUUAAGGAGGAGGGUGACGUAUAUGUAAAAUUGAAGAUGGACACGUGGGAAGAGGAUAGGAUAUGAAGGGUCUAGAACCUCUUGGGAGGUACAAGUGGCAAGCAUGAACCAGUCCACGGUGUGUGUUUGAGUGUGAGGAGAGUGAAUAGAGAGGGAAAUGUUAGAUGACAAAGUUUAUA